AAAAAGGUAAGCUAAAUAAGCUACUGGGCUCAUACCUCAAUCAUAAAGGUCCACUCCUUUCCUUUUUA
RNAcentral lists this transfer RNA (68 nucleotides) under Scolytinae sp. BMNH 1039994. RNAcentral's name for it is "tRNA-Met". Lineage: Eukaryota; Metazoa; Arthropoda; Insecta; Coleoptera; Curculionidae. The record is from RNAcentral.